UGCAGCCGUAAUCCUGUAUUUGCUGUCCAGAAUUAUGCAAUUUAUUUGGUGUGAGGUGAGGGAGAAAUUUCUUUUUAAAGGUUCUUGAGAUGAAUCCCUAACAGGUCCUUAGUUGAUUCACAUAUUCAACAAGUAUUUAUUAUACAUCUGUAUUGCAGGCAUCAGCUAUGUUCAUUGCAGUGAGCAAGAUGGACCUGGCAUACAUCUCCUUAAAUGGAGGAGAGUGAUGUGAACUAAUUAGGUGAACAAAUAACCAUAGAGAUCCAUAUAAUUCCAAG
Lontra canadensis (Northern American river otter) is the source of this 278-nucleotide long non-coding RNA. RefSeq lists it as uncharacterized. NCBI's taxonomy places the organism in Eukaryota, Metazoa, Chordata, Mammalia, Carnivora, Mustelidae. The record is from RefSeq and is a predicted model, not a curated record. The transcript is spliced from 2 exons.